RNAcentral lists this transfer RNA (68 nucleotides) under Rhinoclemmys punctularia. RNAcentral's name for it is "tRNA-Glu". It matches the Rfam family "tRNA". From Rfam's summary of the family: Transfer RNA (tRNA) molecules are approximately 80 nucleotides in length. Lineage: Eukaryota; Metazoa; Chordata; Testudines; Geoemydidae. The record is from RNAcentral.
GUUUUUGUAGUUGAAUACAACAGUGGUUUUUCGAAUCGCAGGUCUUGGUUAAAGUCCAGGCAAGAAUU